This 253-nucleotide ribosomal RNA is filed under the name uncultured bacterium. RNAcentral describes it as "partial 16S ribosomal RNA". It matches the Rfam family "Bacterial small subunit ribosomal RNA", at positions 524 to 776 of the family's 1533-position model. The record is from RNAcentral.
GACGGAGGGUGCAAGCGUUGCUCGGAAUCAUUGGGCGUAAAGGGUGCGUAGGCGGCUUCUUAAGUCUGACGUGAAAGCCCAGGGCUUAGCCUUGGAAGGGCGCCAGAAACUGAGAGGCUCGAGUGCCGGAGGGGAGAGUGGAAUUCCAGGUGUAGCGGUGAAAUGCGUAGAUAUCUGGAGGAACACCGGUGGCGAAGGCGGCAUCCUGGACCGGCAUUGACGCUGAGGAGCGAAAGCCAGGGGAGCAAACGGG